Oncorhynchus tshawytscha (Chinook salmon) is the source of this 456-nucleotide long non-coding RNA. NCBI's taxonomy places the organism in Eukaryota, Metazoa, Chordata, Actinopteri, Salmoniformes, Salmonidae. The record is from Ensembl.
AGUUGGUGAGGGCCACAGCAUAGUCCUUUAGUCUCUAUGGACCAGAUGGCCAGUUGGUGAGGGCCACAGCAUAGUCCUUUAGUCUCUAUGGACCACAGUGGCCAGUUGGUGAGGGCCACAGCAUAGUCCUUUAGUCUCUAUGGACCAGGUGGUCAGUUGGUGAGGGCCACAGCAUAGUCCUUUAGUCUCUAUGGACCAGGUGGUCAGUUGGUGAGGGCCACAGCAUAGUCCUUUAGUCUCUAUGGAGCACAGCAUAGUCCUUUAGUCUCUAUGGGCCAGAUGGCCAGUUGGUGAGGGCCACAGCAUAGUCCUUUAGUCUCUAUGGACCAGGUGGCCAGUUGGUGAGGGCCACAGCAUAGUCCUUUAGUCUCUAUGGGCCAGAUGGCCAGUUGGUGAGGGCCACAGCAUAGUCCUUUAGUCUCUAUGGGCCAGGUGGCCAGUUGGUGAGGGCCACAG